GCCAUCAUUUAAAGAAAGCGUAAUAGCUCACUGGUCGAGUCGGCCUGCGCGGAAGAUGUAACGGGGCUAAACCAUGCACCGAAGCUGCGGCAGCGACACUCAGGUGUUGUUGGGUAGGGGAGCGUUCUGUAAGCCUGCGAAGGUGUGCUGUGAGGCAUGCUGGAGGUAUCAGAAGUGCGAAUGCUGACAUAAGUAACGAUAAAGCGGGUGAAAAACCCGCUCGCCGGAAGACCAAGGGUUCCUGUCCAACGUUAAUCGGGGCAGGGUGAGUCGACCCCUAAGGCGAGGCCGAAAGGCGUAGUCGAUGGGAAACGGGUUAAUAUUCCCGUACUCGGUGUUACUGCGAAGGGGGGACGGAGAAGGCUAGGCUGGCCGGGCGACGGUUGUCCCGGUUUAAGCGUGUAGGUGGGAAGAAUUGGUAAAUCCGUUCUUCUGUUAACACUGAGGCGUGAUAACGAGGCACUACGGUGCUGAAGUAGCUGAUGCCCCGCUUCCAGGAAAAGCCUCUAAGCUCCAGGUAACAUUGAAUCGUACCCCAAACCGACACAGGUGGUCAGGUAGAGAAUACUCAGGCGCUUGAGAGAACUCGGGUGAAGGAACUAGGCAAAAUGGUGCCGUAACUUCGGGAGAAGGCACGCUGGCGUUAGGUGAAAAGACACGCUCUUGGAGCCGAGGCCAGUCGCAGAUACCAGCUGGCUGCAACUGUUUAAUAAAAACACAGCACUGUGCAAACACGAAAGUGGACGUAUACGGUGUGACGCCUGCCCGGUGCUGGAAGGUUAAUUGAUGGGGUUAUCCGUAAGGAGAAGCUCUUGAUCGAAGCCCCAGUAAACGGCGGC
Molecule: ribosomal RNA, 839 nt
Filed under: Xenorhabdus hominickii
Lineage: Bacteria; Pseudomonadati; Pseudomonadota; Gammaproteobacteria; Enterobacterales; Morganellaceae
Description: bacterial LSU rRNA
Rfam family: Bacterial large subunit ribosomal RNA
Source: RNAcentral